RNAcentral lists this ribosomal RNA (253 nucleotides) under uncultured bacterium. Its description in RNAcentral is "partial 16S ribosomal RNA". It matches the Rfam family "Bacterial small subunit ribosomal RNA", at positions 524 to 776 of the family's 1533-position model. The record is from RNAcentral.
UACGAAGGGGGCUAGCGUUGCUCGGAAUUACUGGGCGUAAAGGGCGCGUAGGCGGCGCAUUUAGUCAGGCGUGAAAUUCCUGGGCUCAACCUGGGGACUGCGCUUGAUACGGGUGUGCUAGAGGGCAGGAGAGGCUCGCGGAAUUCCCAGUGUAGAGGUGAAAUUCGUAGAUAUUGGGAAGAACACCGGUGGCGAAGGCGGCGAGCUGGCCUGUUACUGACGCUGAGGCGCGACAGCGUGGGGAGCAAACAGG